This 441-nucleotide ribosomal RNA is filed under the name uncultured bacterium. RNAcentral's name for it is "partial 16S ribosomal RNA". It matches the Rfam family "Bacterial small subunit ribosomal RNA", at positions 338 to 795 of the family's 1533-position model. The record is from RNAcentral.
CCUACGGGAGGCAGCAGUGGGGAAUAUUGGGCAAUGGGCGCAAGCCUGACCCAGCAACGCCGCGUGAAGGAAGAAGGCUUUCGGGUUGUAAACCUCUUUUGAUAGGGAAGAGUAGAAGACGGUACCUGAAGAAAAAGCAUCGGGUAACUCCGUGCCAGCAGCCGCGGUAAUACGGAGGAUGCGAGCGUUAUCCGGAUUUAUUGGGUUUAAAGGGUGCGUAGGCGGAAUGCCAAGUCAGCGGUAAAAUCGCGGGGCUCAACCUCGCUCCGCCGUUGAAACUGGCGUUCUUGAGUGGGCGAGAAGUAUGCGGAAUGCGUGGUGUAGCGGUGAAAUGCAUAGAUAUCACGCAGAACUCCGAUUGCGAAGGCAGCAUACCGGCGCCCAACUGACGCUGAAGCACGAAAGCGUGGGUAUCGAACAGGAUUAGAUACCCCUGUAGUC